GGGGCUGUAGCUCAAUGGUAGAGCACCUGCCUCACAUGUGUGAGGCAUUGGGUUCAAUCCUCAGCACCA
RNAcentral lists this transfer RNA (69 nucleotides) under Marmota marmota marmota (Alpine marmot). It matches the Rfam family "tRNA". Rfam says of the family: Transfer RNA (tRNA) molecules are approximately 80 nucleotides in length. Their secondary structure includes four short double-helical elements and three loops (D, anti-codon, and T loops). RNAcentral also lists the same sequence under 2 other names. The record is from Rfam by way of RNAcentral. Lineage: Eukaryota; Metazoa; Chordata; Mammalia; Rodentia; Sciuridae.